This 602-nucleotide long non-coding RNA is filed under the name Homo sapiens (human). Its description in RNAcentral is "HSALNT0311433". The record is from RNAcentral. Lineage: Eukaryota; Metazoa; Chordata; Mammalia; Primates; Hominidae.
CUCAACUUUUCUGAAUCUCCCACUUGGCUGUGUCUCUGUACCUGCUAAAUCAACACAGUUCCUGGCAUACAGGUGCAUUUCAGUGCAUGCUGGUGAGACAGCGAAGGGCUUGAAACAGUCCACAAAAGUUGAUGCAGGAGAGCAGUACAAUCCUUUCUGGAGUGGGACUCAGAGAAAGAUCAUGCAUGUUGAAGUCAUUCCAGCAGCAGUCCAGGGGAGUUGGGGCAGGUAAGAUGGGAUAAGUGCACUCCAACCAUCAUUUCUGUUGGUCAUAACUCCAGGAGAGAAAGUUUAGAACAGCUAUUUGAGGACGGUGAAAAGAAAACAGCAGAAGGAAUAUUGGUGAAGAACACAGAAUUUGAAGUACAUCAAACCAGUAGGCUCACUUCCAAGCCAUACAUGUUUGGAUCUGGUUUUAAUGAGGAUACCAAGACCUUUGAGAACUGAAGUAAUAGAGAGGUCAUCACCUGGUUCCUAGACUGGCUUCUGGGUGGUGCACACCUGAAAUGGAGACAAAAAGCAGUUUGAAAACUGAGUGGAUGUUGACAUCACAGCGCACAGAAGAAAUAAUGUCUCGCUAUGUUGCCCAGGCUGGACUUCAA